CCCUUAGAUGUCCGGGGCCGCACGCGCGCUACACUGAAGGAAUCAGCGUGGCUUUCUCCCAGACCCGAAAGGGUUGGGAAACCCGUUGAAUCUCCUUCGUGAUAGGGAUUGGGGCUUGAAAUUGUUCCCCAUGAACGAGGAAUUCCCAGUAAGCGCGAGUCAUAAGCUCGCGUUGAUUACGUCCCUGCCCUUUGUACACACCGCCCGUCGCUACUACCGAUUGAACGGUUUAGUGAGGGCCUCGGAUUGGUCUCGGCCCGCUCUUUACCGGGCGGCGCCGUUGGUCGAGAAGACGCUCGAACUUGAUCGUUUAGAGGAAGUAAAAGUCGUAACA
Molecule: ribosomal RNA, 334 nt
Filed under: uncultured eukaryote
Lineage: Eukaryota
Description: partial 18S ribosomal RNA
Rfam family: Eukaryotic small subunit ribosomal RNA
Source: RNAcentral